CAGAUUAGAAUUAAACUUACCCAGAGCCUCAGACCUAGUUUCUCGUACACAAAACACAAUACCUAAUCCACAGCCGCCGCUCCGCCUCCGGCCCUCCGUGACUCCGCCUCCGGCCCUCCGCGACUCCGCCUCUCCCUCAGGCCUUAUCCUGCAGCCGCCGACUUCAAGAAUCAAAGAUUCAAAGUUUCAACCCUAAUUACACGCUCCAGCCUCUCCCUGGUCAGUACUCAGCAGUCACUUGCAGCCCUGUUGACUUCAAGAAUCAAAUCAAAGAUUCAAAGUUGGAGCUAUGUCACAAUCUCAACCAUUGCAGCCGGAGGUAGAGAUGAAGGAUUCCAACGAUGCUAAUGCCAAUACUCAAUCAAGCUCCAUCACGAAAAGGAAAAGAAAGCCUAUGGAUAAAAGAUCUGAAGUGUGGGAUCACUUCACUAAGUUCAUGGACGCGGAUGGCUCUACAAAAGCUAAGUGCAAUUAUUGUUCACGAGAAUAUUUUAGUGAUAGUAGUAAGAAUGGCACUUCUAAUCUUCGUACUCACCUCAAGACUUGCAAUAAGCUUCCACUUAGCGGUGACUCAAAACAAACUCAAUUGACUUUGCAAUCGGUAGGAGGGAAUGAGCUUUUAAAAAAAUGGCGUUUUGAUCAAAAAGCUUCUAGAAAGAAAUUAGCUUCCAUGAUCAUUAUUGAUGAACUUCCCUUUAGAUUUGUUGAGGGUGAGGGAUUUAGGGACUUCAUGCAAACUACUCAACCACUUUUUAAGAUACCAUCUCGUUUUACCAUAGCGAGAGAUUGUUAUCAAAUCUUUUUAGAUGAAAAGAAAGCGUUGAGUAGUUAUUUUAAAAUGUCGGGUCAAAGAGUUAAUAUCACCACGGACACUUGGACUUCUAUACAAAAGAUUGCUAUUCUGUUUUGCUGUCCUGUUUUGUUCUCUCUUGUUCAGUUCUGUUCAAUGUUCUGUUUUGUACUCCUUUCUGUGACUCUGUCCCUAUACUAUGCUUACAAGUUACAAUGCUCACAAAAAAAGGACUCUUGUUUUAUGUAUUAUUUGAUUUCCAGCAAGAAAAAUGGUGUUCUGUCAACUUUUAUCAAAAAAUAAUAACUAUUUUUUAGCUCCUUGAGAACAACUUUUAGUCUAAAAAAUUCUUGAGCUCUGGUAUAUAUCCUGAACUCUUGCUAUUCUAACAUUAAUCCUGAUAGUUUUUGUUUUUGCUUGUUUUUUAUUGCUUUCAGAUGGUGGCCUAGCUACUGGCUACUGGUUGUGACUUUGAGUUGGCCGCAUUGCAGAUUCCACUAUUCCAGAGUAGUCCAAGCACCUGCUGAUGGAUCAAAUGGAUUAAAUUAAAUUCUGUUUUUCAAUUAAGAAUUAGUACCUGCCACUGUCUUUUGAUGUUGUAACUGAACAGAAUAUUUGGAAUUUGUGUAAAACUAAAUUCUUGAUUGUUUUGCUAAUUGCUAGAAGGCUUGAGUGUAUUAAAUUUUAAUUGUUCUUUUGA
Molecule: long non-coding RNA, 1490 nt
Organism: Daucus carota subsp. sativus
Lineage: Eukaryota; Viridiplantae; Streptophyta; Magnoliopsida; Apiales; Apiaceae
Exons: 3
Source: RefSeq, a predicted model, not a curated record